This 293-nucleotide ribosomal RNA is filed under the name uncultured bacterium. RNAcentral's name for it is "partial 16S ribosomal RNA". It matches the Rfam family "Archaeal small subunit ribosomal RNA", at positions 455 to 747 of the family's 1478-position model. The record is from RNAcentral.
GUGCCAGCCGCCGCGGUAAUACCGGCAGCCCGAGUGAUGGCCGAUCUUAUUGGGCCUAAAGCGUCCGUAGCUGGCCGCACAAGUCCGUCGGGAAAUCCACCCGCUCAACGGGCGGCCGUCCGACGGAAACUGCACAGCUUGGGACCGGAAGGCUCGAAGGGUACGUUCGGGGUAGGAGUGAAAUCCCAUAAUCCCGCACGGACCACCGAUGGCGAAAGCACUUCGAGAAAACGGAUCCGACAGUGAGGGACGAAAGCCAGGGUCUCCAACCGGAUUAGAUACCCUUGUAGUCC